AACGCUAGCUACAGGCUUAACACAUGCAAGUCGAGGGGCAGCAUGAUUGAAGCUUGCUUCAAUUGGUGGCGACCGGCGCACGGGUGAGUAACACGUAUCCAACCUUCCGUACACUCAGGGAUAGCCUUUCGAAAGAAAGAUUAAUACCUGAUGGUAUCUUAAGCACACAUGUAAUUAAGAUUAAAGAUUUAUCGGUGUACGAUGGGGAUGCGUUCCAUUAGGUAGUAGGCGGGGUAACGGCCCACCUAGCCUACGAUGGAUAGGGGUUCUGAGAGGAAGGUCCCCCACAUUGGAACUGAGACACGGUCCAAACUCCUACGGGAGGCAGCAGUGAGGAAUAUUGGUCAAUGGACGAGAGUCUGAACCAGCCAAGUAGCGUGAAGGAUGAAGGUCCUACGGAUUGUAAACUUCUUUUAUAAGGGAAUAAAACCUCCCACGUGUGGGAGCUUGUAUGUACCUUAUGAAUAAGCAUCGGCUAACUCCGUGCCAGCAGCCGCGGUAAUACGGAGGAUGCGAGCGUUAUCCGGAUUUAUUGGGUUUAAAGGGAGCGCAGACGGGUCGUUAAGUCAGCUGUGAAAGUUUGGGGCUCAACCUUAAAAUUGCAGUUGAUACUGGCGUCCUUGAGUGCGGUUGAGGUGUGCGGAAUUCGUGGUGUAGCGGUGAAAUGCUUAGAUAUCACGAAGAACUCCGAUUG
RNAcentral lists this ribosomal RNA (694 nucleotides) under uncultured bacterium. RNAcentral's name for it is "bacterial SSU rRNA". It matches the Rfam family "Bacterial small subunit ribosomal RNA", at positions 32 to 715 of the family's 1533-position model. The record is from RNAcentral.